Molecule: long non-coding RNA, 427 nt
Organism: Notolabrus celidotus (New Zealand spotty)
Lineage: Eukaryota; Metazoa; Chordata; Actinopteri; Labriformes; Labridae
Exons: 2
Source: RefSeq, a predicted model, not a curated record
CACUAACAUUUCUUCGUUAGUGUAAAACUGACACAUUUAUCAGACAGGGAUGCACUCCGUGUAGAUUCAAACCUGAAUGACAGAACCUCCAAAGACACGCUCAGACUGACAAAGGAGACGUAUUGCAAUGAAAGAUAGGCGUUAACCAAAGGCAGAUCUCCUUGAUUCCUCGAUUCCUCGAUCCUCUGGUUUUAUUUCCACACAUCUCUGGUGGGAGUGAAUGACGCAAGGAUGGACAUAAAGAGCUUUGAGAUCCACCCAUAGACUGCAUUAAACACAGGCACAAAAGCUCCCCUGCAGUGAUGCCAUGAGUUUCAGAACUCCCCCUGGUGACUGGCUGCAGUACGGGUCAUAAAGCAUGCCUCCUUCAUUAUAACAGACGGAUCAAACGAGAAAAUCAAAAUAAACAUCAAAUAAUUUUACUCAA